GGGGCUGAUUCUGGAUUCGACGGGAUUUGCGAAACCCAAGGUGCAUGCCGAGGGGCGGUUGGCCUCGUAAAAAGCCGCAAAAAAAUAGUCGCAAACGACGAAACCUACGCUUUAGCAGCUUAAUAACCUGCUUAGAGCCCUCUCUCCCUAGCCUCCGCUCUUAGGACGGGGAUCAAGAGAGGUCAAACCCAAAAGAGAUCGCGCGGAUGCCCUGCCAGGGGUUGAAGCGUUAAAACGAAUCAGGCUAGUCUGGUAGUGGCGUGUCCGUCCGCAGGUGCCAGGCGAAUGUAAAGACUGACUAAGCAUGUAGUACCGAGGAUGUAGGAAUUUCGGACGCGGGUUCAACUCCCGCCAGCUCCACCA
This 363-nucleotide transfer-messenger RNA is filed under the name Salmonella enterica. Its description in RNAcentral is "Standard tmRNA". It matches the Rfam family "transfer-messenger RNA". From Rfam's summary of the family: Bacterial tmRNA, also known as 10Sa RNA or SsrA, is named for its dual tRNA and mRNA-like properties. Its role is to liberate the mRNA from a stalled ribosome. RNAcentral also lists the same sequence under 1 other name. The record is from RNAcentral. Lineage: Bacteria; Pseudomonadati; Pseudomonadota; Gammaproteobacteria; Enterobacterales; Enterobacteriaceae.